UACGUAGGGUGCGAGCGUUGUUCGGAAUCACUGGGCGUAAAGGGCGCGCAGGUGGCUUUUCAAGCGCGCGGUGAAAGCCCGGGGCUCAACCCCGGGUCGGCCGUGCGGACUGGGAGGCUUGAGCACUGUAGGGGCGGGUGGAAUUCCUAGUGUAGGAGUGAAAUCCGUAGAUAUUAGGAGGAACACCGGUGGCGAAGGCGGCUACCUGGACCGAUAUUGACGCUGAGACGCGAAAGCGUGGGGAGCAAACAGG
RNAcentral lists this ribosomal RNA (253 nucleotides) under uncultured bacterium. RNAcentral's name for it is "partial 16S ribosomal RNA". It matches the Rfam family "Bacterial small subunit ribosomal RNA", at positions 524 to 776 of the family's 1533-position model. The record is from RNAcentral.